RNAcentral lists this ribosomal RNA (517 nucleotides) under uncultured bacterium. RNAcentral describes it as "bacterial SSU rRNA". It matches the Rfam family "Bacterial small subunit ribosomal RNA", at positions 553 to 1071 of the family's 1533-position model. The record is from RNAcentral.
ACUGGGCGUAAAGGGCACGCAGGCGGUGACUUAAGUGAGGUGUGAAAGCCCCGGGCUUAACCUGGGAAUUGCAUUUCAUACUGGGUCGCUAGAGUACUUUAGGGAGGGGUAGAAUUCCACGUGUAGCGGUGAAAUGCGUAGAGAUGUGGAGGAAUACCGAAGGCGAAGGCAGCCCCUUGGGAAUGUACUGACGCUCAUGUGCGAAAGCGUGGGGAGCAAACAGGAUUAGAUACCCUGGUAGUCCACGCUGUAAACGAUGUCGAUUUGGGGGUUGAGCUUUGAGUUUGGCGCCCGUAGCUAACGUGAUAAAUCGACCGCCUGGGGAGUACGGCCGCAAGGUUAAAACUCAAAUGAAUUGACGGGGGCCCGCACAAGCGGUGGAGCAUGUGGUUUAAUUCGAUGCAACGCGAAGAACCUUACCUACUCUUGACAUCCAGAGAACUUUCCAGAGAUGGAUUGGUGCCUUCGGGAACUCUGAGACAGGUGCUGCAUGGCUGUCGUCAGCUCGUGUCGUGAG